ACUUCAAAGAGGGAGAAAAUAAAGUAGAUCAUCAUCAAAUGAUGAAGAUUGCUCAUAUUGCCACCAUUCUUGUGUUGAUUCUAUCUUUGACUCAAUGCGAAAAGGCCAGGGCAAGCAAAAUUGAAGCGAUCGUGAGUCCGCGCAGAGAGGUGGACCAUGUCUGCGCCAACCGGGAACCAUUGACCGAAUGUACGGACGACCAAUGUAACCAAACGUGCAUUGAUAAAUAUAAGAGCAGGGAUAACGUCGCGAGGGGAGAAUGCGUCACGUGGCCGGACUUCAGGGUCGUUUGCAUUUGCACUUGGACUUGUUAGAAGGGGAAAAAAAAUAGAGAAUUUAAUAAAACCAAAAAAAAAAAAAGGUUUUAGUCUCAUGGUUACAAUGAGAAGAAAAUAAAUGGAUGAUAUAAAAAUCUCAUGGAUUAUAUCUGUGUUGAAUG
This is a long non-coding RNA of Tarenaya hassleriana, 439 nucleotides long. RefSeq lists it as uncharacterized. The transcript has 3 exons. The record is from RefSeq and is a predicted model, not a curated record. NCBI's taxonomy places the organism in Eukaryota, Viridiplantae, Streptophyta, Magnoliopsida, Brassicales, Cleomaceae.